This 792-nucleotide ribosomal RNA is filed under the name uncultured bacterium. RNAcentral describes it as "bacterial SSU rRNA". It matches the Rfam family "Bacterial small subunit ribosomal RNA", at positions 8 to 796 of the family's 1533-position model. The record is from RNAcentral.
AGAGUUUGAUCCUGGCUCAGAUUGAACGCUGGCGGCAUGCCUUACACAUGCAAGUCGAACGGUAACGCGGGGCAACCUGGCGACGAGUGGCGAACGGGUGAGUAAUACAUCGGAACGUGCCCAGUAGUGGGGGAUAGCCCGGCGAAAGCCGGAUUAAUACCGCAUACGACCUACGGGUGAAAGCGGGGGACCGCAAGGCCUCGCGCUAUUGGAGCGGCCGAUGUCAGAUUAGGUAGUUGGUGGGGUAAAGGCCUACCAAGCCGACGAUCUGUAGCUGGUCUGAGAGGACGACCAGCCACACUGGGACUGAGACACGGCCCAGACUCCUACGGGAGGCAGCAGUGGGGGAAUUUUGGACAAUGGGGGCAACCCUGAUCCAGCCAUGCCGCGUGCGGGAAGAAGGCCUUCGGGUUGUAAACCGCUUUUGUCAGGGAAGAAACGGUCUGGCCUAAUACACCGGACUAAUGACGGUACCUGAAGAAUAAGCACCGGCUAACUACGUGCCAGCAGCCGCGGUAAUACGUAGGGUGCAAGCGUUAAUCGGAAUUACUGGGCGUAAAGCGUGCGCAGGCGGCCAUGUAAGACAGAUGUGAAAUCCCCGGGCUUAACCUGGGAACUGCAUUUGUGACUGCAUGGCUCGAGUGCGGCAGAGGGGGAUGGAAUUCCGCGUGUAGCAGUGAAAUGCGUAGAUAUGCGGAGGAACACCGAUGGCGAAGGCAAUCCCCUGGGCCUGCACUGACGCUCAUGCACGAAAGCGUGGGGAGCAAACAGGAUUAGAUACCCUAGUAGUCC